Molecule: ribosomal RNA, 499 nt
Filed under: bacterium enrichment culture clone MAOB 58
Lineage: Bacteria
Description: bacterial SSU rRNA
Rfam family: Bacterial small subunit ribosomal RNA
Source: RNAcentral
GGGCUACUCGCUGGCGGCAUGCCUAUACAUGCAGUCGAGCGGCUGAUUGGAGCUUGCUCCCUGAUUCGGCGGCGGACGGGUGAGUACUGCCCAGGAAUCUGCCUGGCCCUGGGGACAGCGUUUCCAAAGGAACGCUGAUACCGCAUACGUCCUUCGGGAGAAAGUGGGGGAUCUUCGGACCUCACGCUAUCAGAUGAGCCUAUGUCGGAUUAGCUAGUUGGUGAGGUAAAGGCUCACCAAGGACACGAUCCCUAACUGGUCUGAGAGGAUGAUCCGUCACCCUGGAACUGACACACGGCCCAGACUCCUACGGGAGGCAGCAGUGGGGAAUUUUGGACAAUGGGCGAAAGCCUGAUCCCCCCAUGCCGCGUGUGUGAAGAAGGUCUUCGGAUUGUAAAGCACUUUAAUUUGGAAGGAAGGGCUGAAAUUUAAUACCUUGCUGUGUUAACGUUACCAAAAAAUAAGCACCGGCUAUCUUCGUGCGCGCCGCCGCGGUAUA